RNAcentral lists this ribosomal RNA (453 nucleotides) under uncultured Porphyromonadaceae bacterium. RNAcentral describes it as "partial 16S ribosomal RNA". It matches the Rfam family "Bacterial small subunit ribosomal RNA", at positions 341 to 792 of the family's 1533-position model. The record is from RNAcentral. Lineage: Bacteria; Pseudomonadati; Bacteroidota; Bacteroidia; Bacteroidales; Porphyromonadaceae.
ACGGAAGGCAGCAGUGAGGAAUAUUGGUCAAUGGUCGGAAGACUGAACCAGCCAUGCCGCGUGAAGGAUUAAGGCCCUAUGGGUCGUAAACUUCUUUUGUACGGGAGCAAUAAGGCUUACGAGUAGGCCGAUGAGAGUACCGUACGAAUAAGCAUCGGCUAACUCCGUGCCAGCAGCCGCGGUAAUACGGAGGAUGCAAGCGUUAUCCGGAUUUAUUGGGUUUAAAGGGUGCGUAGGCGGGAUGUUAAGUCAGCGGUGAAAGCGUGUAGCUCAACUAUACCAAGCCGUUGAAACUGGCGUUCUUGAGUGUAAACGAGGUAGGCGGAAUGUGACGUGUAGCGGUGAAAUGCUUAGAUAUGUCACAGAACCCCGAUUGCGAAGGCAGCUUACCAGCAUACAACUGACGCUGAGGCACGAAAGUGCGGGGAUCAAACAGGAUUAGAUACCCUGGUA